Callorhinchus milii (elephant shark) is the source of this 1006-nucleotide long non-coding RNA. RefSeq lists it as uncharacterized. The transcript has 3 exons. The record is from RefSeq and is a predicted model, not a curated record. NCBI's taxonomy places the organism in Eukaryota, Metazoa, Chordata, Chondrichthyes, Chimaeriformes, Callorhinchidae.
AAAUCUGUUAAGUCAACCUGGAUAAACGUCAGAAGGAUUUGACGGUGUGACUCGUGAGUCUGGAACGGUGAGGUUAAAAUCGUCAGAAGGACUUGACGAUAUUAAUCGAGCAUCGACUCCUUGACCGUCUUGGGGGGCAGAUGAGUGGACAAGUACAACCCAAUCAAUCAUCUACUUCACAACAGCAGCCAAUACCUACAUAGAGGACAGGAUCUACAUUGGCAACUGCGCGGGUUUUUCUAUGCGUCGGGUGUGGAAGAGCGUGCGGUGACGGAGUCGAUAGAUGCUAAUAUUGGUUGAAAGGAUUGAUGUGGUGGCUGAGGUAAAAGAGAAUCGUGAAGAUUGUGAUGGUGAUGGCUGUGCUGUCAGCUUGACUCACUCGAGGUGGGGACUGGACCUUUCGCAAACCCAGAAUUCUGGUUUGUCUUAAAUUGUCCAAAAACGAUAUCGCAAAGACUCAUGACUUGUUUGGCUGGAAUAGAACUGAUUCUAUGGACUCCCAAGGACAUUGGUAACAUCAAUACGUAAAGGUUGCCAAGAACAAAAGUAUACCGACCUUGAAGGAUGUUUUUAGCCCUACAAUGAAUGGUAAAAACAAGCUGUUGAAAUGUCUCACUGCUGACUUGGCGACAUGACUAAAAAGGUCUAAGUUUGGGAACAAAGAAGACAAGUCUAACCGAUCUUAAGAAGGGAUAUUCUACAAUCAACAUUGAUCGAACCACUUUUAUCAAGUCGAUUCCUAAUCACAGCCAUUGUAUCAAUCUGAUUAAUUAAUUGCACUGAACUUUAUUACUCAUGUCAUAUGCUUUUGUGCUUGCCAAAGCCAUCAUUUUAUUACGAAUGAAUGUGUCUUUAUCUUAUUUUUUUUGCUUUAUUGGUCGCGGUGUAUUUGUGAGACCUCAUUUAUUAUCAUUAUUUUGGUCUUAAGGUGGGGACUGUUAGAUUAUAGACGUUGUAAUCUAAUAAUAAUGAACAUUAAACAAAUGUAGAAUGGAGAAAGUACUGA